RNAcentral lists this ribosomal RNA (474 nucleotides) under Chromis weberi (Weber's chromis). Its description in RNAcentral is "partial small subunit ribosomal RNA". It matches the Rfam family "Bacterial small subunit ribosomal RNA", at positions 788 to 1491 of the family's 1533-position model. The record is from RNAcentral. Lineage: Eukaryota; Metazoa; Chordata; Actinopteri; Pomacentridae.
CAUUAUGCUCAGCCCUAAACUUUGAUAGACUAUUACACCCACUAUCCGCCCGGGUACUACGAGCAUUAGCUUGAAACCCAAAGGACUUGGCGGUGCUUAACAUCCACCUAGAGGAGCCUGUUCUAGAACCGAUAACCCCCGUUAAACCUCACCCUCCCUUGUUUUUUCCGCCUAUAUACCGCCGUCGUCAGCUUACCCUGUGAAGGAUCUAUAGUAAGCACAAUUGGUAAAACCCAAAACGUCAGGUCGAGGUGUAGCUAAUGAGAGGGGAAGAAAUGGGCUACAUUUCCUAACCCAGGAAACACGGAUAAUGUUCUGAAACGGACAUUAGAAGGAGGAUUUAGUAGUAAGCAGAAAUCAGAGCGUUCCGCUGAAACCGGCCCUAAAGCGCGCACACACCGCCCGUCACUCUCCCCGAGCUAACAAAAACACAUUCCUAAAGUCCCACAUCUGCAAAGGGGAGGCAAGUCGUAA